RNAcentral lists this ribosomal RNA (500 nucleotides) under uncultured bacterium. RNAcentral's name for it is "partial 16S ribosomal RNA". It matches the Rfam family "Bacterial small subunit ribosomal RNA", at positions 29 to 523 of the family's 1533-position model. The record is from RNAcentral.
AUUGAACGCUGGCGGCAUGCCUUACACAUGCAAGUCGAACGGCAGCACGGGCUUCGGCCUGGUGGCGAGUGGCGAACGGGUGAGUAAUACAUCGGAACGUGCCCUGUUGUGGGGGAUAACCAGUCGAAAGAUUGGCUAAUACCGCAUACGACCUGAGGGUGAAAGCGGGGGACCGCAAGGCCUCGCGCAGCAGGAGCGGCCGAUGUCUGAUUAGCUAGUUGGUGGGGUAAAGGCCCACCAAGGCGACGAUCAGUAGCUGGUCUGAGAGGACGAUCAGCCACACUGGGACUGAGACACGGCCCAGACUCCUACGGGAGGCAGCAGUGGGGAAUUUUGGACAAUGGGGGCAACCCUGAUCCAGCAAUGCCGCGUGUGUGAAGAAGGCCUUCGGGUUGUAAAGCACUUUUGUCCGGAAAGAAAACCUCUGCCCUAAUACGGCGGGGGGAUGACGGUACCGGAAGAAUAAGCACCGGCUAACUACGUGCCAGCCGCCGGAGUAA